CAGCAGCCACGGGAAUACGAAGGGGGCUAGCGUUGCUCGGAAUGACUGGGCGUAAAGGGCGCGUAGGCGGUGGUAUCAGUCAGAUGUGAAAUUCCUGGGCUCAACCUGGGGACUGCAUUUGAGACGGUAUGACUAGAGUUCGGAAGAGGGUUGUGGAAUUCCCAGUGUAGAGGUGAAAUUCGUAGAUAUUGGGAAGAACACCGGUGGUGAAGGCGGCAACCUGGUCCGAGACUGACGCUGAGGCGCGAAAGCGUGGGGAGCAAACAGGAUUAGAUACCCCCGUAGUCCCUGUCUCUUAUAA
This 301-nucleotide ribosomal RNA is filed under the name uncultured bacterium. RNAcentral's name for it is "partial 16S ribosomal RNA". It matches the Rfam family "Bacterial small subunit ribosomal RNA", at positions 509 to 809 of the family's 1533-position model. The record is from RNAcentral.